UACGGAGGAUGCGAGCGUUAUCCGGAUUUAUUGGGUUUAAAGGGUGCGUAGGCUGGUAAUUAAGUCAGUGGUGAAAUACUCCGGAUCAACCGGGGGGCUGCCGUUGAUACUGGUUACCUUGAGUUUAGAUGAUGUGGGCGGAAUGUGUCAUGUAGCGGUGAAAUGCAUAGAUAUGGCACAGAACUCCGAUUGCGAAGGCAGCUUACCAGUACGCUACUGACGCUGAGGCACGAAAGCGUGGGUAUCGAACAGGAUUAGAUA
Molecule: ribosomal RNA, 261 nt
Filed under: uncultured prokaryote
Description: partial 16S ribosomal RNA
Rfam family: Bacterial small subunit ribosomal RNA
Source: RNAcentral